Molecule: non-coding RNA, 1662 nt
Organism: Coregonus clupeaformis (lake whitefish)
Lineage: Eukaryota; Metazoa; Chordata; Actinopteri; Salmoniformes; Salmonidae
Source: the annotation of a RefSeq genome assembly
GACAGCACAUGCUUCAGUGGUCUGGGAGUGUUUAUAUCCCUGUGAGUUUAACACUUCAUGACUGAGAGCUGUCCUUCAUGACAACAGAACCCACAACAACCAUGACUUUUAUCACCAUCUUUAUCUGGACACUUGCCUUCUGGUUUCAAGAGUCCAGAGGCCAGUACACUGUGACUCAGACUCCUGCAGUGAAAGCUGUUCUCCCAGGACAGACAGUCACUCUGAACUGUAGAACCAGCAGUAAUGUGCAUAGUAAUUGUCACAAUACUCAGUCAUGGGGCCAUCAGUGUCUAUCCUGGUACCAACAGAAACCUGGAGAAAAACCCAAACUCAUGAUGCUCCCAGGGAACACACUCCAUUCUGGGACUCCAUCUAGAUUCAGUGGCAGUGGAUCUGGGAGUGACUUCACUCUGACCAUCAGUGGAGUCCAGGCUGAAGAUGCAGGAGAUUACUACUGUCAGAGUUUCCACUAUCCCAAUAGUAAAUAUGUGUUCACACAGUGAUACAGAGCCGUACAAAAACCUCCCUCAGUCAGACUGCACAGUGACUGUACUGCUACAGCUGGGACCUACUGCAGGUGCUGAGGGGGAAGAGACAGUGACAUGGAACACUGAUCAGUAAGGAGGUCAAUAUGAAUAUGAAUAUGUUUAGAAAGCAUCAUCAUGUUCCUCAUCAUCAUCAUCAUCAUCAUCAUCGUUAUCAUGGUUGUAACUCAUUAUAUUUGUCAUGACCUGAAAGUUCACCAUCUUCAUCUGAACACUAAGUAAGUAAUGCAUGCAUAUAACAAUAAUAAUGUCUCACAACAUUUCUGAAUAAAACCUGGUCCCUCUGUCAGGUUGUGAAUUUCAAGCGACAAAUCUACAAUAUUUAUUGAGAUGGUAUAACAUGAUUAUAACUCCUAAUCCCUAAAUUAGUGUUUCCCAAACCUCUCCUUAAGUACCCGAGGAAGUCCACAUAUUUGAUUUUAUUCCAGAAUUAUCACAGGUGACCAUUUGCUGAUUACGUGACCAUUCGAAUCAGCUGUGCAAGUUCUGGAGCACAUCAAAUAAGUGGAAUGUCAGGGGGAACUUGAAGAGAGGUUUGGGAAACACUGUCCUGAAAUGACCUGUCGUACAGUCAACACAAAACCUCUCUCCUGCCACACCCUGCUAGAACCUUCCAGCACCUUCCCAGCCUUUAAUUGAGCCCAGCUGAGGCUCGUUUAUAAAUCAAGGCCAUGAUUGGCUGGGCAAUCAGCCCCACCGCUUAAAAAUGCUCCUGCUCACACAGAUCUCUUCAAUUACACUGUCUCUGUGGGACAUAGAAAGUCUGGAGUGUAUGUAUUAGUUGUACACUGUAGCAAAACGUUUUGCGUUAGAAAAAGAUUUGAAACGAAUACGUGAGUUUCUAUUGGACAAAUUCAGCUAGGUCCCUCGCCGUUUUGUUCCGUUUGCUACUGUUUGCUUCUGUUUGGUUCCAUUAGGCUCCUAGUGAAUACACCUCUGUAUUCAUUAUGGAAACCGUUUACCAUUUAAGAACCAAACGGAUACUUUAUUGCUUGGUUUAAUGGACUUUAGAGGUUAUAACGGAUGUAACUGAAGUACAUUUCUAAUGUGGUGUAACUGUGAAUAUUAUAAUUUUUAUUCAACUUUUUCUUUAUGUUGUUGUUUGUUAUUGUUGUUU